RNAcentral lists this ribosomal RNA (288 nucleotides) under uncultured bacterium. RNAcentral's name for it is "partial 16S ribosomal RNA". It matches the Rfam family "Bacterial small subunit ribosomal RNA", at positions 96 to 384 of the family's 1533-position model. The record is from RNAcentral.
UGGCGCACGGGUGCGUAACACGUAUGUAACCUACCUUAUCCAGGGGGAUAGCCUCUCGAAAGAGAGAUUAACACCGCAUAACAUCACGGGAUAGCAUUAUGCUGUGAUCAAAUAUUUAUAGGGAUAAGAUGGGCAUGCGGGACAUUACCUAGUUGGCGGGGUAACGGCCCACCAAGGCGACGAUGUCUAUGGGAUCUGAGAGGAUGGCCCCCCACACUGGUACUGAGACACGGACCAGACUCCUACGGGAGGCAGCAGUAAGGAAUAUAGGUCAAUGGACGGAAGUCU